Molecule: ribosomal RNA, 258 nt
Filed under: uncultured bacterium
Lineage: Bacteria
Description: partial 16S ribosomal RNA
Rfam family: Bacterial small subunit ribosomal RNA
Source: RNAcentral
CCGGCGCACGGGUGCGUAACGCGUAUGCAACCUACCAUCAACAGGGGGAUAACACUGAGAAAUUGGUACUAAUACCCCAUAAUAUCUCAUGCGGCAUCGCAUGGGGUUGAAAACUCCGGUGGUUGAUGAUGGGCAUGCGUUGUAUUAGCUGGUUGGUGGGGCAACGGCCCACCAAGCCGACGAUGCGUAGGGGUUCUGAGAGGAAGGUCCCCCACAUUGGAACUGAGACACGGUCCAAACUCCUACGGAAGGCAGCAG